UACGUAGGGUGCGAGCGUUAAUCGGAAUUACUGGGCGUAAAGCGUGCGCAGGCGGUUCGUUAAGUCAGAUGUGAAAGCCCCGGGCUCAACCUGGGAACUGCAUCCGAUACUGGAUGGCUUGAAUCCGGGAGAGGGAUGCAGAAUUCCAGGUGUAGCGGUGAAAUGCGUAGAUAUCUGGAGGAAUACCGGUGGCGAAGGCGGCAUCCUGGACCGGCAUUGACGCUGAGGAGCGAAAGCUAGGGGAGCAAACGGG
RNAcentral lists this ribosomal RNA (253 nucleotides) under uncultured bacterium. RNAcentral's name for it is "partial 16S ribosomal RNA". It matches the Rfam family "Bacterial small subunit ribosomal RNA", at positions 524 to 776 of the family's 1533-position model. The record is from RNAcentral.